RNAcentral lists this long non-coding RNA (929 nucleotides) under Equus caballus (horse). RNAcentral describes it as "lncRNA (ENSECAG00000055152.1)". The record is from RNAcentral. Lineage: Eukaryota; Metazoa; Chordata; Mammalia; Perissodactyla; Equidae.
UUUCAAGAGUAUAUUUAAGCAAAGCAGAUUAAUUUUUCUGAAGAAAAGAAAGAAGAGGACAAAGAAAAAGUAAACUUGGAGGAAACUGCAGAGAGGGCAGCAGAGCCCCAGGCGUGAGACACGGAGUGAAGGAUGAGCUGGCAGCCAGGCUGUUCCUCCUGCAGGACCAGCGCAGAUCAGGAGCCGGACGCAGACCCCAGCCCUGCUGCUGGAGCUCCUCAGGACCUGUUGUCAAAGUCACUUGAUAAAUGAUCAAAUGUAGUAUGUUAUUAAGUCGUUCUUUUGGGGCCAUUCAUGAGUGCCUUGAAGACCACAAUCAUUUCCGGGCUCCCAGUGGGGAGCCGUGUCUCCAUGAGGCAGGUAGAGAACCAACCUGAAGACCAUCCCACCACACACAAGGGCCCAGAGCCAGAAAGAUCAGAUCUAAAAGAUCUGGAAGUCAGCUCAACUUAAAUUUAAACUAGAAAUAUCAAGAGAUCACUCUGAGAGACAAGACUGAAAAGUCAUCAUCUUCUCUGAGUUGACCAAGAUUGAAACACUUAUAUUCAUAAAUAAUUGUCUUGAAGAUCAAAGAAACAUUCUUAUGGCAUAAAAUAUACCAUGCAUCAUUUAGCCAACCCCCUGCCAUAAAACCUAACAGAGACGAAAGAUUAAGAAAUGAUGUCACAGCCACAAGACACCACACCUAUGAAACACAACGUUUCAAAGAAUUAUUCCCACUUGUCUGUAACUGUGCACGUGUUAAACCACAAAAGAAAACAGAAACUAGAGCCACUUCUACUCACACUUGAAGUUCACAAAUAGUGUCAAGUUAAUUUUUUUGUGCUUCAGAUUGCUUUUGCUAAAGAGUGCUCUUUUUUCUUUUACUUUCUCUUUUCUUUUUACUUAUUACGAAUUACAGCGUAUAUUCCUAGGAAUGUAAUGUCUAG